GUUGUUGUGGGCACAUCGUCAAAGGUGCACAGCCGGCCCGCCCUUUAGAGCCGCGGUCCACGUCCCUACAACCGCACGGCCAAAGUCGGGGUCCGCAGGACGCCAUGGCCAUGCGGGUUCGAGGGACAGGCUUCCCUUCCGUCCAGUCCCACUGGGGCUUCCUGAGCAUCUGCCCUGCACUCAAACGUGACUCGAGCGGGCUUCAGGUUUGUGAAAGGCUUCACCUCUGAGGCUGGACCUCUCGGGAGGGAGUUCCACGGCCCAACAACCCACAGCCACGGACGGCCAGUGGCUCCUGCCCACCCUCACGGCCCCCAGCCCCCUGCCUGGAACGUCACCUCCCUGCCUCUCACAGCCCAGAAUACCCUCCAGGGACCACCGCAGGCCCCAGGUAGCUGCAGGGGACGUGGAGGAGACCCAAGAGGUGUGCGUGCUCAUCCCCAACGUCCGAGGGGGCGCUGGGGCCCAGCAUUUCUCGGGCUGAGGGCUCUGCCAGGCUGAGGGCGGGUCCAUAACUGGGGGAUGGCAGGGGGUGCGGUGAAGGAGCCCGCGCAAACUGUGGACACUCAAGCUUGAUCUUGGCCCUCAGAGCCAGGAUCCUCCUUUAAACGGAUGACGGCCUUGCCCCCAGGUUCCGGGCAGAGCAGAGGGACCUGAGACCCGGGGCAGGGGGACUCACACAGCCCCAGGCUGGACUCUUUUUGGAAGCAAGUAACAGAACCAACUCUAGCUUCAGCCAAAAAAUAAAGGGAGACGGGGGGAGGUGGGGGAAGGUAUGGAGGGAGGGAGGGCGGCAGGGCUGUCACAGAGCUGCAGGCGGGUGCUCGGGGCUCAGGAGCCGAGAACCGGGCACCAUGGGAACCCCGGACUGGCCAGUGCCCACGCUCCUCUCGGGUCUCCGCCUUGUGCUGUGGAUGGAGCGUUUCACGGCAGAAUAAACGGCUGCCACAUGAUCCUGGAUUUCUGAACAACCAGCCCAGUCACAAGCAGAGACUCGUCCUUCGUUCAAACUCCCGGUGAGGACACCGUGCCACCUGGCCAGGGUCAGGAGCUCACAGGGCAUGAAGACAUCACUCUGCUGUGACCAUGUGCGCAAGGCAUGCGGUGGAGGGAGACCUCCGCUGGGUCCCCUGAGCCUGGAAAAGCACAGCUCCAGGCCUGCUCCAUGGGGGCUUCUGAGGGGAAUCCAGCCCUCGAAGGCUCAGGCCAGGCCGGGCAAGCUGGCGUGGUCACAGGCCUUCCAGUCCUCAGGCUGCGGGCCGCCCCCUCAACCCGUGGCCAGGCAGGCUCCGCCGGCCAGUCUAAUGAGAAGGCCCAGCCCCGAAGGCGCAGAGGCUCCCGCGAGCCCCUCGGCCGGUCAGCGGGCCGCCCCGCGGACCAGGCAGCUCUUCCCACUUGGAGCUCGAGCUGUGGUUUCUCUUUACGCCAAGAAAAGUCUCCCAGGCUCCCUGCCGGAGCCUCCGCAGGCGCACGGGGAGGGGAGGAAGUGCACACGCAGCACUUGGCUGCCUCCCGGUGCAGAGUCACCGCUUCCCGGCCUGAGUGGGCCCCAGCCGAGGGAGGGACCUGCCUGGCUCGCAGGGACCCCAGAACAGAGGUUAAUUCAGGUGAAGGCGGCACAAGCGUGGAGCCGCGCCCUGGCCGAGCCUCGCUGGCUGGCCCUGCAGGACCGUCGCGGCUCUGCAGCCUGGCCUGAAGGCUCUGGGUGCUGCUCUGUUUUCAGCAGUCAAGGCCUGAUGAUUCAACAGACAGUUAAGAAACAGUGGAUUCCCGUCCAAGUCGUUUUCUGGGGCACGGAGGGCUUAGGAGAAAUUCCUUCUGCUUCACCCCCUGCUGCUGAAAAUAUCUCUGGACUCCGAGCGCUCUGGGCAGUAUUGGUCAGGGGACGGCAUCGGGAGCUCAAUGACACCCCUGUGGAUCUCAGUCUCGGGGAGGCCCCUGACUUCGCUCCAGCCUCAUCCCCUUGUAAAGUUCCUGAAAGGGCUGCAAGAGCACCUCCUCCCUCCGUGUCCCAUGUGCACUCAGCCAGGCAGACCUGGGUUCCAGCUCCAGGCCGCCGUAUACUGUGAGGCCUUGGGCGAGUGGCUCAGCCUCUCUGUGUCAGACUUCUCGUCAGCACAAAGAGGGUGACAUUGAGGGGACCCACCUGUGGGGACUGUGAGGAGAAAAGGUGACACAGCCUGCUCCCCUCCUGGUAGGGGUGUGAACCGGCUCUGUCUGACCCUGUGACCUCAGCCGUCCACCACCAGCUGCCUCUCCAGGGCCACUAAGAAAGCCUUGGGGGUGGGGUCUCCAUCCACCCCGAGUCUUACAGGCAAAGAAGCCGAGGGGGCAGGCACCACAGAGACCCCUGAGACCCCAUCUCAGAAAAACUGGAAAUCUGAUUCCACAUGUGUUUGGGAGUUGCUUGGGGUUGGGGGUUGAGGGUGACAGGGGACAGCUCUGGAAUAAAGGAGAGGUGGUCCUCAGCGUUGUCCUGCACACUGGCCCCUGUGCAGCGGAGACCGCGUGCUUGUGGGGGUAGGGGGUGGGGCCUGCUGAUCGUUCUGCUCUUCUGGCCAAGUGCUUUUCUGUCAAUUUUUAUGAAAUGCAAAAGGAGUUUUUUGUUUUAUUCUGUUUUUUUUGUAAAGCUUAAAAACACAUCUACAUCUUAUACUUGAGCUUCCAUACUUUAAAAUAAAGGAAAAAAAAGAACAAAAAUAAAUAAAUAAAAAGAAACCCAUCUCAGGCUCGGUCAGCAGAGCUACAACGGAACUCGCCCGGCCUCCCCCGGGGUGAGGCUCCCCCCGCACAGUCACAGCAGCCCCAGCAUGACCACUGCUCGCCAGCUUCCGUACACAGCAGCUGACUUCCACAUCUCACUGGGCACCGACUCGGCGCCACGCCCUCCGAGGUGUGCGGCCUGGUCACCCCACUCAGUCCUCUACCUGGCAGGGCCACCCAUCACCUACAGUUUAAGGUCAGGAGACUGCCCCAGAGGUCACUUCUGGGCCAGCAUGCUCUGCCCCUCGCCACUGGGCACACAGCCCCAUAUGGCCUUGCUGCUAGGACCCUCUGUCUGACCAGACUCCACACCCCUUGGUUCAGGUUCCACUGAGCAAGCACCUGUCGCUCUGGGCAGUUCCUUUGGGCCAGCUCCUCAGGCUUGGAUCCAUCAGCUGGGGCUGGGGGCUGGCGGAAUGGAAGGCCCCCUGCCAGGGGCCGUGGGGAGGUGGCAGGUGUGAUAAGGUAAGUAAACCAUUUUUGUGAGUUUGUGAGCCACUCUAGCAAAUGAUGGAACCCGAGGAGGGGGUCAUGGGAACCUCUGAUGUUCAGCCAGGAGGUCCAAAGCACAAGUGACAACCUGGACUUGUGACCGGCAUCUGAAGCGGGGGAGGGGAGGGAGUCUUGUGGGAUAGAGCCCUUAACCUGUGGGGUCUGACGCUAUGCCAGGCAGACAGUGUCAGACCUGGGUUAACUUUGUGGAGGGCCCAGUCAGUGUCCUUGGAGAACAGGAGGGUUUGUGAGGGAGAGCAGCCCCCCAAAUGUGGCACCUGCAGCCGGGGGCAGGGGGCAGAUAUCCUCAGCAGAGAAUGGGCUGGGACCCCUCAAGGUCACCCCCUCCUCACUUUACGGAUGAGGGAGCAGCCCCCACGGGAGGUGGCCCACCCAUGGUCACACAGCCCGUGAUGCCAACCCAGCUCUUCCACCUUCCAUGUGCCAGUGUGAGGCGCACAGGGCAUGCCCCCGUCUCACUCUGAUGGGAUUCCAGCCCCUGCCCAUGCUGCAGGGUGUGCUCGUCUGAAGGGUGGAUAAAAUGGUGUGGGCUGGCCCAGACAACAGCACCAACUCUGAGUGGCCCCAUGGCCCACCUCCUGUGUUCGCGAGUAACCUCCAGAGUGUGGGCAGGGCCUGCAACUGGCUUCUAACCAACAGGACCCUGCAAGGGUGAUGGGCCGUCACUUCAGCAGUAACCAAACGAGAGGGUGUCAGCAGUCUUGCCAGGGGGCGCUCUCCCUUGCCAGCUCUGAAGAAGCUGCCACACGGUGAACGGGCCUCAGGACAGGGCCACGUGGCAGCGAGCCGAGGCCAGCCUCUGGCCGACAGCCAGCAAGGCACCGAAUGCUGCCAACAACCACGUGAGCUCAGCAGCAGGCCCUUCACCAGUGAGGCUUGAGCUGAGAGCACAUCCCCAGCCAAGAGGACAGCAGCAGCCUGAUGAGGCCCUAAGCAGAGGACCCGGCUAAGCCGCGCUCAGAGCCCAGGCCCACAGCAACUGUGAGAGGACAGUGUUCCUUUGGCCGUGAAGUUCGUUGCAAUUCAUUACACAGCAGCAGACAACAAAUACACAGAGGGUCCCUCGCCACGGCCCUGACGACCACUCUGCCGGAAGCAUCCAGAUGCGCCAACCAAGGCCAACAGGGAGAAGGCAGGACAGCGUUUCCACUUCAGGGCGCCUGCCCACUAUGAAAAUGACUCCAUGGACUACGGAGGAGGAUUUCUGAAGUCAUGACCAGGGGAGUGCUCUAGAAACACACCAUUAGCCACCGUCGCCGAUUAACAGGAGUUCGCAGACCCGUUUUGGAGAAUGCCCCGUGAUGAGUCAUCAAAAUCAACUUAUCUUCUCUCCUUGAAAAAGACAAUCACAGCCCUUCUGUUGGCAAAUGCAGCUGCUGCUUAAAGGACCAGUGAUGUGUUUCCUCCCGGAAGUAGGGAGUUCCCUCCCCAAGGAUCCAGGAAGAGGCAGGACCCCCGCUGUCCCGCGGUGGCAUCAACCCCAUCGGUGCACAAACCCAAGCAGGUGUCAGCACCGAGAGCAGCCUCAGGAGCCACUCGAGCAGCCCUCUGGUUUUACUGAUGGAGGGACUGGAGCCCAGGAAGGGUGAGGGGCUUGCCUGAGAUCACACAGCAGACUGGAAGCAUGACGAGGAGAUUCUGGGUCCCAACAGCCAGGCUCCACAGCGCCCACAGUUCCACCAUGAUGUCCACUCCCAGAAACAAACUGUCUAAAUUAACAGGGAUCUGCAAAUGAUCAAGUUCACGCCCCCACCCCCAAAUAUCAACAGGGAAGAUAUCCCCCAGAAUUCCUGCCAGAUAGUCGUGCAGCCUCCACUUGCACACCCUUGAUGACAGGGUGCUCACUCCCCGGAGGCAGUGUGUCCCACCUCUUGUCAGCUCUGCUGAUCCAAACAUUUUUUCUUUCGUGGGCUGAGCAGAAAUCUGCCCUCGGUCUGGCUUCCGUGUUGGAUGUUCCGUGUUCCGUAUGGAGGGUGGCAUAGAACAAGCUGUUCUGUUCUCCACCCAAGACCCCUGGGACUGUCUCUUCUCUCCCCUGGCUGAAGCCCUACGCCCAGCCCCAGCCACUCCUCCUGGGCACAGUGCCACCUCCAGCCCCCUCCGGGCCCAUGGAGGAUGCCCCAGACAUGCAGAGCUGCCGUGAACCGUGUGCCCCCAGCACCCUCCCUCAGGCACCCAUCCCCGAGCCUGGUGGGAACCAUGGUCACUGCUCUCUGCACCCCAUGACCAAGGGGGGCCUAGGGAGAGGGAGGGGCUCAGAAACUGUGGGUGCGCAGUAAGCGUGGGCUGGGUGAGACAGACCUCCUGCCCUUCGGGACCUACACCCCUCGCCUUCUGCCGGCAUCUCAGACCUAGACCUGGACUGAACCACGCCCACAGCAGACCCAAAUCCGAGACCUCUCAACAGUCAGUUACUACCUGCUAGGGCUGCCGAAACUUUUUAUCCAUCCACCAGGAAAAAUCUAUUCCUUACCUAGUGCCACCCACUGGUCCUUCACGCUCAUUCCACCUCCCGCUGAGAAGCAGAAAAACAUCAACACUUCCUGCCUCACAUGACAACCGCAUUGUUAAGAGUGUUUCUCACAAAAUAUCUCAUUUAAUUCCCCAAACAGCCCUGUGAGCUUGUUUCUCUUGAGCCCAUUCUGCAGACGACGCGAC
Molecule: long non-coding RNA, 5934 nt
Filed under: Equus asinus (donkey)
Lineage: Eukaryota; Metazoa; Chordata; Mammalia; Perissodactyla; Equidae
Description: lncRNA (ENSEASG00005038528.1)
Source: RNAcentral